Struthio camelus australis is the source of this 47-nucleotide non-coding RNA. NCBI's taxonomy places the organism in Eukaryota, Metazoa, Chordata, Aves, Struthioniformes, Struthionidae. The record is from Rfam.
GCAAAGGAUUUUUUAAAAUCUAUCGGCUAUAAAGAAGAAAAAAACCU